AUCUCACACAGGAAGUUGAGAUCUCUAUGAGGGGGGCGUCACCACAAAAUAACUGUCAAUCACACACACACACUCACACACACACACUCACACACUCACACACACACACACACACCGCUGGAGCUCGGCGAAGCCUUCCUGCUCUUCUCGAGAUGAAGGAGGAGUGUGUGUAACGAUGGAUGACAGGAACAGGCGCGAGCGGAUCAGACCUGCACACACACACCUGAAUGAAGACAGCUGUCCUGCUGAACGAGCUCCUAAAGGUCACAUCAGCGCAGGAGAUGCUGUGCACAGUCUUCCUCGUCCACUGCGUGUUAAGCCAGGAUGUAAAGGACCCGCCGUCAACAGAGACCUCAAACCUGGGAGACUGCCCAAGAGCUCCUCCGGUACUGUCUCUUUAAAUUCAGCAUUUCUUAAAUGUCUCUCUCUCUGUCUGUUCAUA
Puntigrus tetrazona (Sumatra barb) is the source of this 442-nucleotide long non-coding RNA. RefSeq lists it as uncharacterized. The record is from RefSeq and is a predicted model, not a curated record. NCBI's taxonomy places the organism in Eukaryota, Metazoa, Chordata, Actinopteri, Cypriniformes, Cyprinidae. The transcript has 6 exons.